This 308-nucleotide long non-coding RNA is filed under the name Heterocephalus glaber (naked mole-rat). Its description in RNAcentral is "lncRNA (ENSHGLG00100033031.1)". Lineage: Eukaryota; Metazoa; Chordata; Mammalia; Rodentia; Bathyergidae. The record is from RNAcentral.
CAGGGCCUGAGAAAGGAGGACCCCGUGCCGGGACUGUGGAGCCCCACCGGCCGUCUGUCUCGUGCCUUUGCAGAGAGGAGGAGAGACCUGGGACCUUGCACUUGCGAGGUAGGCGACAGAACCACCGAACUACAUCCCUGCCCUGCAUUUUCUAUCUCUAUAAAGUGUGAGGACAGCACGCACACCGUGCCAGACCUUAGCUUUGUGACCUGCCUGUGCUUCUGGGAAACCUGGUUAUCACAGGUGCCAGCUUGGGGAAACUAAGCAGCCUGCUCUUCCUACAGCCAGUCAUGUUCCAGACCUCUGCC